Molecule: ribosomal RNA, 253 nt
Filed under: uncultured bacterium
Lineage: Bacteria
Description: partial 16S ribosomal RNA
Rfam family: Bacterial small subunit ribosomal RNA
Source: RNAcentral
UACGUAGGGUGCAAGCGUUGUCCGGAAUUAUUGGGCGUAAAGAGCUCGUAGGUGGCCUGUCGCGUCGGCUGUGAAAACUCGGGGCUCAACUCCGAGCUUGCAGUCGAUACGGGCAGGCUAGAGUUCGGCAGGGGAGACUGGAAUUCCUGGUGUAGCGGUGAAAUGCGCAGAUAUCAGGAGGAACACCGGUGGCGAAGGCGGUGGUCUGGGCCGGUACUGACGCUGAGGAGCGAAAGCGUGGGGAGCGAACAGG